UCGCGAGCCAGUUCGCGAUAGAGGAGGGACGAGUCAGGGUGAGAAGCCUGCGACGCGGCUACGCGGAGUCCCAAACGGCUGUAGUCAGCUUGCCUGUUUCCCUGGGCAAAGCUGUAAUACAGCGGGGACAGGUGCGGAUCGGCUGGACAGUCUGCAGGAUCCGAGAGAGAGAAGGACUUCCGAGGUGCUACAGAUGCCUGGAACCGGGGCACAUCGCGAGCAGCUGCAGGAGCACAACGGAUAGGAGUGGCUGCUGCAUCAAAUGCGGCGAGCAGGGGCACAAAGCCGCAGUCUGCACAAACGAGCCAUCAUGCUUCAUUUGCUCGGCAGCGGGAAAGAAGGAGUCCAGGCACCAGGCCGGCAGCAAAAGCUGCACGGCCGCGUUCAGCAGGGUCGGUCAACGCAGCAAGACAUGCGGUUGAUCCAGCUCAACCUGAAUCACUGCAGGGCCGCGCAGGACCUCCUGCAACAGACGGUGCGUGAGCGGGGAUCGGAGGUGGCAAUCCUCAGCGAGCCCUAUAGGGCUCCCAGCUGCAGCAACUGGGCCACAGACCGCUCGGGCAGAGCUGCGUUGUGGACAUGCGGAGUGGAGACGCCCCAGAUCGGCGACAUAAAGUCGGCCGAGGGGUUCGUUCGAGGCAAAGUAGGCGGGAUGUGGGUCUAUAGUUGCUACCUGGCGCCCAGCCUCCCGCUGGAGACCUUCAGCCGCAUCAUAGACGAGCUGAUCGGAGACCUGCGAGGACGAAGCGACGUCAUGGUCGGGGGCGACUUCAAUGCCUGGGCCCAGGAGUGGGGGUCCUCCCGAACCAACGCUAGAGGACGCACGGUGCUGGAGGCCUUCGCCACCUUGGACAUGGUGCUGCUCAAUGAAGGACUCCAACAAACGUUCAGCAGGGGAGGCAUGGGGUCAGUCAUCGACCUCAAAUUCGCCAGCAGAGCGUUGGCCAGAACCGCUUGUUGGAAAAUCAGCAACGCCUACACCGCUAGCGACCACGAGGCCAUCGAGUGCGUGUUUGGCGAACCGGACCCAGGAAGAGCAGCCCCUACUCAGACCCAGAAUAGGAAGGCGUAUCGGCAGGCCACGCUGAGGACACAG
RNAcentral lists this long non-coding RNA (1096 nucleotides) under Drosophila guanche. The record is from RNAcentral. Lineage: Eukaryota; Metazoa; Arthropoda; Insecta; Diptera; Drosophilidae.